UAGGAUUAGAUACCCUAUUAUGCUUAGCCUUAAACAUUGACAACAAAAUACACCUGUUGUCCGCCUGGGUACUACGAGCAUCAGCUUAAAACCCAAAGGACUUGGCGGUGCUUUAGAUCCACCUAGAGGAGCCUGUUCUAGAACCGAUAACCCCCGUUCAACCUCACCCUUCUUUGUUUCUCCCGCCUAUAUACCGCCGUCGUCAGCUUACCCUGUGAAGGACCUAUAGUAAGCAAAAUUGGCACAGCCCUAAACGCCAGGUCGAGGUGUAUCGUAUGGAAGGGGAAGAAAUGGGCUACAUUCUCUAACAUAGAGAAAACGAAUGAUAUACUGAAACAUAUAUCUGAAGGAGAAUUUAGCAGUAAGCAGGAAAUAGAGUGUCCCGCUGAAAUUGGCCCUGAAGCGCGCACACACCGCCCGUCACUCUCCCCAAACUAGCUUAACUCAAUUAAAUAAAACCCUAACACAGUAAAGGGGAGGCAAGUCGUAACAUGGUAAGUGUACCGGAAGGUGCACUUGGAAAAAU
This 526-nucleotide ribosomal RNA is filed under the name Cynoscion nebulosus (spotted seatrout). RNAcentral describes it as "partial 12S ribosomal RNA". It matches the Rfam family "Bacterial small subunit ribosomal RNA", at positions 773 to 1533 of the family's 1533-position model. Lineage: Eukaryota; Metazoa; Chordata; Actinopteri; Sciaenidae. The record is from RNAcentral.